This 492-nucleotide ribosomal RNA is filed under the name uncultured bacterium. RNAcentral describes it as "partial 16S ribosomal RNA". It matches the Rfam family "Bacterial small subunit ribosomal RNA", at positions 30 to 507 of the family's 1533-position model. The record is from RNAcentral.
AUUGAACGCUGGCCGCAUGCUUUACACAUGCAAGUCGAACGGUAACAGGCCUUCGGGUGCUGGCGAGUGGCGAACGGGUGAGUAAUGCAUCGGAACGUGCCCAGAGGUGGGGGAUAACGCAGCGAAAGCUGUGCUAAUACCGCAUGUGAUCUGAGGAUGAAAGCGGGGGACCAGGCAGCAAUGUUUGGCCUCGCGCCUUUGGAGCUGCCGAUGUCAGAUUAGGUAGUUGGUGGGGUAAAGGCCCACCAAGCCGACGAUCUGUAGCUGGUCUGAGAGGACGACCAGCCACACUGGGACUGAGACACGGCCCAGACUCCUACGGGAGGCAGCAGUGGGGAAUUUUGGACAAUGGGCGCAAGCCUGAUCCAGCAAUGCCGCGUGCGGGAAGAAGGCCUUCGGGUUGUAAACCGCUUUUGUACGGAACGAAAAGGCUCUGGCUAAUACCUGGGGCUGAUGACGGUACCGGAAGAAUAAGCACCGGCUAACUACGUG